Molecule: ribosomal RNA, 482 nt
Filed under: uncultured bacterium
Lineage: Bacteria
Description: partial 16S ribosomal RNA
Rfam family: Bacterial small subunit ribosomal RNA
Source: RNAcentral
AUUGAACGCUGGCGGCAUGCUUUACACAUGCAAGUCGAACGGUAACAGGCCGCAAGGUGCUGACGAGUGGCGAACGGGUGAGUAAUGCAUCGGAACGUGCCCAGUCGUGGGGGAUAACUACUCGAAAGAGUAGCUAAUACCGCAUACGAUCUAUGGAUGAAAGCGGGGGACCGUAAGGCCUCGCGCGAUUGGAGCGGCCGAUGUCAGAUUAGGUAGUUGGUGGGGUAAAGGCUCACCAAGCCAACGAUCUGUAGCUGGUCUGAGAGGACGACCAGCCACACUGGGACUGAGACACGGCCCAGACUCCUACGGGAGGCAGCAGUGGGGAAUUUUGGACAAUGGGCGCAAGCCUGAUCCAGCAAUGCCGCGUGCAGGAAGAAGGCCUUCGGGUUGUAAACUGCUUUUGUACGGAACGAAACGGCUCUGGUUAAUACCCGGGGCUAAUGACGGUACCGUAAGUAUAAGCACCGGCUAACUACGUG